GACGAACGCUGGCGGCGUGCUUAACACAUGCAAGUCGAACGGAAAGGCCCUGCUUUUGUGGGGUGCUCGAGGGGCGAACGGGUGAGUAACACGUGAGUAACCUGCCCUUGACUUUGGGAUAACUUCAGGAAACUGGGGCUAAUACCGGAUAGGAGCUCCUGCUGCAUGGAGGGGGGUGGAAAGUUUCGGCGGUUGGGGAUGGACUCGCGGCUGAUCAGCUUGUUGGUGGGGUAGUGGCUUACCAAGGCUUUGGCGGGUAGCCGGCCUGAGAGGGUGACCGGCCCCAUUGGGACUGAGAUACGGCCCAGAGUCCUACGGGAGGCAGCAGUGGGGAAUAUUGCACAAUGGGCGGAAGCCUGAUGCAGCAACGCCGCGUGCGGGAUGACGGCCUUCUGGUUGUGAACCGCUUUCGCCUGUGACGAAGCGUGAGUGACGGUAAUGGGUAAAGAAGCACCGGCUAACUACGUG
RNAcentral lists this ribosomal RNA (468 nucleotides) under uncultured bacterium. RNAcentral's name for it is "partial 16S ribosomal RNA". It matches the Rfam family "Bacterial small subunit ribosomal RNA", at positions 28 to 507 of the family's 1533-position model. The record is from RNAcentral.